RNAcentral lists this ribosomal RNA (497 nucleotides) under uncultured bacterium. RNAcentral's name for it is "partial 16S ribosomal RNA". It matches the Rfam family "Bacterial small subunit ribosomal RNA", at positions 28 to 507 of the family's 1533-position model. The record is from RNAcentral.
GAUGAACGCUGGCGGCGUGCCUAAUACAUGCAAGUCGAGCGAACGGACGAGAAGCUUGCUUUUCUGACGUUAGCGGCGGACGGGUGAGUAACACGUGGAUAACCUACCUAUAAGACUGGGAUAACUUCGGGAAACCGGAGCUAAUACCGGAUAAUAUAUUGAACCGCAUGGUUCAAUAGUGAAAGACGGUUUUGCUGUCACUUAUAGAUGGAUCCGCGCUGCAUUAGCUAGUUGGUAAGGUAACGGCUUACCAAGGCAACGAUGCAUAGCCGACCUGAGAGGGUGAUCGGCCACACUGGAACUGAGACACGGUCCAGACUCCUACGGGAGGCAGCAGUAGGGAAUCUUCCGCAAUGGGCGAAAGCCUGACGGAGCAACGCCGCGUGAGUGAUGAAGGUCUUCGGAUCGUAAAACUCUGUUAUUAGGGAAGAACAAAUGUGUAAGUAACUGUGCACAUCUUGACGGUACCUAAUCAGAAAGCCACGGCUAACUACGUG